RNAcentral lists this non-coding RNA (44 nucleotides) under Bacillus cereus. Its description in RNAcentral is "PreQ1-I sequence". It matches the Rfam family "PreQ1 (pre queuosine) riboswitch aptamer". From Rfam's summary of the family: This family is a bacterial riboswitch that binds to the metabolite preQ1, an intermediate in the biosynthesis of the modified nucleoside queuosine from GTP. Lineage: Bacteria; Bacillati; Bacillota; Bacilli; Caryophanales; Bacillaceae. The record is from RNAcentral. RNAcentral also lists the same sequence under 1 other name.
AUGGGAGAGGUUCGCGAACUCCCUCUAUAAAAAACUAUGAGAAC